This is a long non-coding RNA of Phacochoerus africanus (Common warthog), 339 nucleotides long. RefSeq lists it as uncharacterized. The record is from RefSeq and is a predicted model, not a curated record. The transcript has 3 exons. NCBI's taxonomy places the organism in Eukaryota, Metazoa, Chordata, Mammalia, Artiodactyla, Suidae.
CAUUAAGUCAUGCAGAAUCGAACACUGAAGGAGCCACAAGGACAACUUCCUUUCUUUCCCACUCAUCUCCACCAGGGUUAAUUACAGGGUCUGAGGAGUCUGUGGCAACCAUCACCACGGAUCUGAGUGAGGGGGCACCUAGAAGCAGCACGCUAUUGACGGGCGACUCCAUAUCUCUGGAGACUGUCAGUCUAGGUGUGUCCACAAGAAUUCCAGAACUGACUACAGCCAUCAAACUCACAAGCUCCAAGGAGCCCAGAACUGGCCCAGAGACCAGGUACCCUCUGGGAAAUUCUUGGAAGACUUCAACAGCAACUGUCCCUAUGGAGACCACAGUGG